UGGAAACCUGCAUUUAAUACUACACCUGUUACUAUAAGAGUGUUGCAUGGCUGUCUCAUGCAAAACCAUGUCUGCUUCCUGCUCUCUUGUUGACGCAUCAAACAUAAAGGCGGUAUCCAGGGUCUCCUUCCAGCUAAGGUAGAAGUGUUUCUCCUCAGUGCACCAUACACAUAUUAGGUAUGCCUGUACUCUCUAAGCUGCAGUGGGGGGUCAGCAGGAGGAUCUCGAUUUAUCUUUACUGAUUUGAGUGUGGGAUGGGCUGUUGGUGCGAGAGUAAACCCUGCUUUUGUGCUCAGCCAAAAGCAGUCUCAACAAGGUUAUUCCCAUCGCUGAUGCCCAGCCCAAUCUCAAUUCUCUUCUUUAGCCCUACCCCUCAUUUGUCAGUGGCCCACGCUUUUGAGCAGCCCCAAAUUGCCCCUCGAAAUAUAUAAUAUGUCCAUGCUCGAAACAGAGGGUCAAGGGGAAUUCUUCCCCACAUAAGGUACAACCCUUCAAGACCCAGUUACGUCAUUAGUAGUCGUCUAUGGCGUUUACUGAAAUAGGCGCGACGAGUUUGUUGCUGGUUGUUCUGAGUUUCACAAUACCGGCUUCAGCUGUGGUGAUUAUUCUUGUACCACAGCUGUCCAUCGUACUGCAAGCUAAAGCUGCGGCUGUGGCUUGUAGGACAUGGACAUCCAACGACCAAGUGCUGUCACGUGAUUCCACUUGCCACCCCCACUGACGUCACUGGCUAAUCGCGCGGGAGAGCUUCAUUCUCUUCUCGACUACUUCACCAAGAUGACAACGAUGGCAAGUAACUAAAAUUAAUGACUGAAACAACCUAAUUGUGAUUGCAAAAACAUGCGUUUGUGAAAUGUGUUUUUGAUGGGUCCACUCCUUAAGCUAACGUAUUUAUCCACGAUAGCAGACACUUUAAAUAAUAGUUAUAAUUACAUGCAACUUAUUUAUCUCAACGAAAUUUCAAAUAGUAUACUAGAUACAUACAAAUAUAUAGAAAGGAAAAUAUACGAAAAUGAAAUGGCUAAAGUUAAUGCAAAAUGAUGAUGUAGUCGAGUACAAACUGUCUACUCUCAUUGCAGUCUUUGGAAGUUAAUUCUGACUGAUAUGUUAUCUUCCACAGCAUGACAUAACACAUCUCAGGAAGUGGUAGUGCUCCACUUUGUUGGAGAAUCUCCAUACUGAAGGGUAUAGUUCUUCUGAAGCAGAUGUGCUGUGAAUUCCA
Molecule: long non-coding RNA, 1222 nt
Filed under: Gadus morhua (Atlantic cod)
Lineage: Eukaryota; Metazoa; Chordata; Actinopteri; Gadiformes; Gadidae
Description: lncRNA (ENSGMOG00000026123.1)
Source: RNAcentral